Molecule: ribosomal RNA, 279 nt
Filed under: uncultured bacterium
Lineage: Bacteria
Description: partial 16S ribosomal RNA
Rfam family: Bacterial small subunit ribosomal RNA
Source: RNAcentral
UGCCAGCCGCCGCGGUAAUACGAGGGGUGCAAGCGUUGUCCGGAAUCACUGGGCGUAAAGGGUCCGUAGGCGUCUUAAAAAGUCAUUUGUUAAAUACACCGGCUUAACCGGUGACCUGCAUUUGAAACUUUUAAGAUAGAGUAUAGGAGAGGAAAGUGGAAUUCCUGGUGUAGCGGUGACAUGCGUAGAUAUCAGGAGGAACACCAAUGGCGAAGGCAACUUUCUGGCCUAUUACUGACGCUGAGGGACGAAAGCGUGGGGAGCGAACAGGAUUAGAUA